Molecule: transfer RNA, 68 nt
Filed under: Pachydactylus namaquensis
Lineage: Eukaryota; Metazoa; Chordata; Lepidosauria; Squamata; Gekkonidae
Description: tRNA-Ala
Source: RNAcentral
AAGACCUGUAAAACUCUAAUUUACAUCUACUGAAUGCAACUCAAUCGCUUUAAUUAAACCAAGGCCUC